Molecule: long non-coding RNA, 5336 nt
Organism: Leucoraja erinaceus (little skate)
Lineage: Eukaryota; Metazoa; Chordata; Chondrichthyes; Rajiformes; Rajidae
Exons: 3
Source: RefSeq, a predicted model, not a curated record
CGUGUGGGAGGGGGAGCGCGAGGCCGCGUCGCGCCGUUUGAAUCGCGCUGGCAGUUGGGCGCGCGCCCCGCCCCGCCAUGGACGCUCCCAUCGACGGCUGUCUCAUCACUGCGCUGAUGGCGGCCGCUCCCCACCUUCAGGGCGGAGCGCAGUGUCCCUCCGGACCACGCCUGCCGGUAGGGCCCUUGCACGACAGGUGAGGUCACGACCCCUGACCCAUACUGCAGCCACGCAAUGCCUUCUGGAGUACAAGAGGAGAACUUCAGGAAACACACUUGAAAUUACAAGCGCAGAUAAGGCUGAGGACCAAUUGGAUCGGUCAGACAUACCAAUCCUCAUCUAUAUUACUAAAAGUCUGAUCUUUACCGCAUUUGGCCCACUGUGCUGCGAUUUUCGAGAGAACGCCGCCACCUAUGGCCGUCAUCUUUGGUCACCUCGCUCAGAGCCUCCCUCAGCCUUCCUGGACUGGAGGAUUUUCCCCAUCGAUGACAAAUCAGAGAGAUAUUAAUGUUUUUUAAAAAAUCACCAUUCUCUCUGCUGCCCCUGCUAGGGGGAGGAACUAUAAAACCAGGAAGUGGUGUGCCUCACUCAGUCUCUGCAAGAUGGAUGAAGCCAAAGGGUCACGUCUCUCUGAGCUCUGAAUAACUCAACAUGUCUACUCAACUGUGUCCCCUUAAUGUGGUUUGAAAAUGAAAAUAUGGUUUGAAGUAAAAAUGCACUGCAUGCAAAUGGUUGUUUGGGUGCUUUAGCUUGAAGUUAAAAGGCACUACCUACUGCAAAUGGUGGCUUGGGUGCUUUGGCUUGAAGUUGAAAGGCACUACUUACUGCAAAUGGUGGCUUGGGUGCUUUAGCUUGAAGUUAAAAGGCACUACCUACUGCAAAUGGUGUGUUGGGUGCUUUGGCUUGAAGUUGAAAGACACUACUUUCUGCAAAUGGUGGCUUGGGUGCUUUGGCUUGAAGUUGAAAGGCACUACUUGUUGAAAAUGGUGGCUUGGGUGCUUUUUGAGAAUCUCUCUCCUGUCAAUCACGCCAUGAAGGCCACACCUUUUCUGGUGGGAGGGGGAGGGGUUAUAAAACCCGGAAGUAUGGGUAUGGCUCAGUCUCUGCAUGAUGGGGCAGGGAGAGGUCACGACUCUGAGCUGUGAAUCAACUGAACACACUGAAUGUCUACUGAACUGAGUUUGGUGUUUUGUGUGGUUUUAUGGUGGUUUCACCCUGCAUGAAAUGGUAUGAAGCUGCAUUUGAAUUUGGUGGCCUUGCACCCUGCUUGAAAUGGAAUGAAACUACACUUGAAUUUGGUGGCCUUGCUUCCUGCUUGAUGUGGAAUGAAACUGCACGAAUUUGGUGGCCUUGCACCCUGCUUGAAGUGGUAUAAAACUGCACUUGAAUUCAGAGGCCUUGCACCCUGCUUGAAGUGGUUGGAAACUGCACUUGAAUUUGGAGGCCUUGCACCCUGCUUGAAGUGGUAAGAAACUGCACUUGAAUUUGGUGGCCUUGCACCCUGCUUGAGAUGGAAUUUCAAGGAAUAGCCAUGUCAACUGCCAGCCCACCAGCCGUGAGUGAGCUGCCAGCAGAUCAGGCUUGAGGGACUGAGCUGCCACCACAAGAAACCAUACCAACGCUCCAGAAAGCCCCCCCAACUGGCCACCAAUAUUGGAAUUGGUGGAGAGGUGGAAUAUUGCGUCGGGGGACCAGCCCUCCCGUGUGAACAUGGGACCCAACGGGUCCCACUUAGUGUAGUAUAGUACUAAAUCUAGAGGUACAGCAAUCAUAAUUCGAAAAGGAACACCAUUUAAACUAAAGAAUAAAAUAAUAGACAAAGAUGGGAGGUAUGUCAGUUACGGGAGAGAUAAACUCGACCGCAGUUACCUUAGUAAAUAUUUAUGCGCCAAACUUUGAUAAACCUCAAUUCUUUAACAAAAUUUUGAACUUAAUCUCAGAGAUUAAUUAUCAAAGUGUAAUAUUUGGAGUAGAUUUCAAUUGCGUUCUUGACAAUUAUUUGGAUAAAUCAACACAACAAAAAAGAUUAAACAUUAAAUCUAAAUCUAGUGAACUCUUAAAUACGUACAUAAAAAACACAAUUAUAACAGAUGUAUGGAGGAUUGCAAAUCCAGCUGGAAGGGAAUAUUCUUUCUACUCAUAAAACCUACUCACGAAUUGAUUACUUUUUAGUAGAUACAAAAUUAAUUCCAUUUACAUCAAAUCCAAAAUACCAUAGUAGUAUAAUUUCAGAUCAUGCGCCGUUAACUUUCUUCUUAAUAAUAGAAGGAAUGACCAAUAAAAAUUUGUUCUGGAGAUUUAUUCCCCAUAUUGUAAACAACCCGCAGGGUUGUGCAUAGCUAAGAAAACAGAUGGAAUUUUUCUUUGAGACUAAUGAUACACCAGGUAUAUCACCCUCAUUAUUAUGGGAAUCGUUUAAGGCAUUUAUCAGAGGAUCGGUAAUUUCAUAUCAAGCGUUUCAAAAUAAAAAAAAUAAAAUGGAACAGGGAAGAAACAAUUGGACAAUUUGACUUGGACAACACCAAAGACCCAACUAGGGAUAAACAUAAUAAGGUAUUAAUAUUGAAAUUUAAAUUAAAUAGAAUCUUAUCUGAAAGAAUCAUUAGACUAUUCUAAAUUACAAAGCAGGAAAAUAUUGAAUUCGGCGACAAGCCACAUAAACUCUUGGCACGACAAAUGAAAAAACGGGAAAAGGAACAUACAAUUUCUAAAAUUAGGUCAGAUAAAGGGGAAUUGAUAAUACUACCCAAAGAGAUUAACAAAAGAUUUGCUCAAUUCUACCAAAAUUUAUAUACAUCAAAAGCAUCAAUAGAUAAUGUCAAAAUCACAAACUUUUUGGAAAAAUAUAAUCUCCCAAAACUUAAUGUGAUGGAACAGGAAGAAUUAGGAGCUCAAAUUACAAUUAAUGAGUCAAUAAAGUCUUUGAAGAACGGUAAAACACUAGGACCAGAUGGAUUUAGUGGAUUACAAAUAUGUCGGAAAUACUACAUCUUGAGGAAAUGAGACUUGUUCUAGCAGGAAAACGAGCAAUUCUUAAGAAUAUGGUCACCUUUCAUUGAUUUCAUUGAUUUGUUACAGGUGUAAUAUGGUGCAACACAACCCUGGAAAGUAACUCUUUUAGAACUAGGUGAUGGGUGUGAAUCGUUAGGAAUUAGGCACAUUCCCUUUCCUUCUUGCUUAGCCUUACCUUUUUUAGAUUCUUUACUUAUUUUCUUUUUCAUUUCUUAAGGCCUCCCUUUUCUGUGGGGCCUUUUUUUUCUUCUUUUCUUUUCACAUUUUCAAGCACGCAGUCUACUUAACAAUUAUCAUUCACUUACCGCCAACUACUGCGGACUACACUUCACUACUAUCCUCACUUAUCUUCUUUCUCUUUUUUCUUUUCUCUUUUUCUAUUAUAGGUUAAAGUUAAAAAAUAAGUUGUACAAGAAACGUAGUAUGUCGCAUAUUAUGAUUAAGAUGUAUGUACAUUGCUUCUCAUUAAAACUUUUUUUUAAAAACGCUGACUUACAGUUUGUAAUCCUUCGAUAAAAUGCAGUUGUCAGCUGCUCAAGCGACUUCUCUUCCUCCACAGCUACCUUUCCAAAUGGAUCAGUUUGCAACCUCAGCGCACUUUAAUAGCGUUGGUCUCCUCCCUCCAUGCUCCUCCCAACACCUCCGGUAGAUGGCGGUUCCACAAACAUGCUGAACUAUUUAUUGGCAAAACUAUCAGCACAAACCGAAUCCUUUGUUAGUCCACACUGAAUAUUAAGCUGCCGCCAAAUCUGACCAAAGGUGUGUAGGAAGGAACUGCAGAUGCUGGUGUACACCAAAGAUAGACACAAAAUGAUGGAGUAACUCAGCGGGGCAGGCAGCAUCCUUGGAGAGAAAGAAUGGGCCCUUGCUUUCCCUCUCUCUACACAUCCCUCCCAAAGCACCGUAGUUCCAUGACUAGUUUCACUGUCCUGAAUAAUUUUACUGUUUGUAUGCCUCAUUAACUACUCCCCCGCAGCCAACAAUGACCCUUUCCUUGAUCAUCGUCUGCUUUGACCUGUCGUUUUCACAUCUUACAUUCACUGUGUACCUUUCCAUAGCUACAGUUCCCCUCUCCCCUGACGCUCAGUCUGAUGAAGGGUCUCAAUCCAAAAUGUCAUCCAUUCUGUCUCUCCAGAGAUGCUGCCUGUCCUGCUGAGUUGCUCCAGCAUUUUGUGUCUAUCUUCAUUGCCAACUGAAGAGUGGAUUUGGGCACGUCCAACACUAAUUCACCAACUUGAAGUGUCAAUUUUUAAUAUUUCAACUAAAUUUAUCACUAUUGAAUCAUAUUCCACAGAUUUGUUUGCUGAUAUCACAGCUAGCCGAAAUACAUGAAGGUUAGUGAGUCACUUUGCUGAUAAGAUGCUGGGGAAAAAUAAUGUAAGUAUAGAGUUGAUUACUUGGGAGAUGGUAUGAUAUGUGCAUGUUCUUGAAAAGUUACUGAAGACAGUUUGCGGUUUGAUUUUUUUCUCAUAAAUUAUAGCUUCACAAAGUUGACAAUGGUCUUGUUACACAGACAGUAAAUUGGUAGGAUGUGGAAAUUGGACCAUAAAACUGAGUUGUACUAUGAAUACUUUAUGUUGGGAACAUAAGCCAAGACCUUGCAUGAUGAACUAAACCUGGUGAGAAUAAAUCUUAGUUGGUGAACAAUACUAAAUUGGAAGCCAAAUGAGAUGAAGAAGGGGUGGCACAAAGGUAAGUUGGCUCCUGACAGCACCAGAGACCUGGGUUUGAUUCUGACCAUGGGUGGUGUCUGUACGGAGUUUGGAUGUUCUCCCCGUAACCGCAUGGGUUUUCUCCGGGUGUUCCGAUUUCAUCCCACAUUACGAAGACAUACAGGUUUGCAGAUUAAAAAUAGAAACUUAGGUGCAGGAGUAGUCUAUUCGAAUUUUUGAGCAGGCUCCACCAUUCAAAAUGAUCAUGGCUGAUUAUCUAAAAUCAGUACCCCGUACCUGCUUUUUCCCCACUAUCCCUUGAUUACUUUAGCACUAAGAACUAAAUCUAACUCUUGAAAACAUCCAGGGAAUUGGCUUCCACUGCCAUCUGUGGCAGAGAAUUCCACAGAUUCACAACUCCCCCUUCUGCAUCUCAGUCCUAAAUGGCCUACCCCUUAUUCUUAAACUGUGAACCCUGGUUCUGGACGCCCCCAACAUUGGGAACAUUUUUCCUGUAUCUUGCUUGUCCAGUCCUUUAUAUAUUUCUAUAACACGAUGCAAGAUACAUUUAUUUGUCACAUGUACUGAUUGGUACAGUGAAAUGUGUGGUCACCAUACAGCCAUACAAAUAAUAAAGAGCACAGAACACGAUAGACUUUAACACAGAUAUCC